AGCUUCUCGAGAUCAACUGACAGCUCAUCAGAACAGCAUUGAUCUGGAAGGAGGGGUUCUCCAUGGUGGCCAGAUCAGGGUGAUGGUUUCACUCUCUACCUGAGGAAGGAAUGUGUCCUGCCGAGAUUUAUUAAAUUGAUGAAUCUCAUCGAUAAAAAGGAUGAUGUUCCUCUUGAAAAAGCUCUUCUCAUUCUGCGCUUGUUUGAUGAUAUCAUGCAUAUCAGCUGUCUUGGCGCUGGUUUCCGACAAGGUCACAUAUCUUACCCUCUUGCUGUUGAUGAUGAUGUGGGCCAGCGGGGUCUUGCAGCAGCCCGAGGCCCUCACAGGAUAAGCAAGGGCACCUGUUGUCUUCCAGCAGCCAGUGCAGCAUCUAAGGCCCUAUGGCACGGCCCUGCCCCACGAAGUCCUGCAGCGCGUUGGGCUACAGCUGGCACUGCCACCGGCCUGCCCUCCAGCAUCUACCACACCUCCUCUGCCUUGGAUGCCCGUGUAUGCGAGCACUCCCCAGGCCGAAGAUGGUGGCUUCCGCGUCCUCCUCGCCGACCGCGUCCCCGUCACCAGCCGCCUCUUCCUAGGGCGACUCCGCCUCGUCCCAGCUACUCGGGGACUUGCUGCCCGCAGCCGCCUGCUGCCCCGCGCCCUUCCUGCCCAGGCUGCCGAGCCCCGCCACCGGGAAGAGGUGCACGCCGCUGGGAGUGGGAGGCGUGUGGUAGCACUCAUGGCUCUCCGUCUCCCUGACGCCGCCACAGUCCAGCUCCUGAGCGUCUCCCUCGCUGCUCUCGGCAGCCGUCACUGUGGCCGGCUGUUGGAGCGCCGAGCUCUCCAACGGCCAGCGCCGCAGUCAUCGGUCCACGUAAGAGUUGAUGUGCAGGGCGGGCACGGCCCGCUGGCACUGGAGACACCGCAUCCGGGGAACCGAACCGGUGAGACUGAAGGCCACUCACCUCCAUGGCGGCCCACGCCGUGCGUUGCCCCGGAGCUGCGCGACCCUCACUCGGGGAAGCGGCAGGACGCGCGCGGGCCAGGGGGGGCGCAGUCCAUGCCUCACAUCUUCCGCCCUCAGCCGGCGGCCCUGAUGCCUCGCGAGGCGCGGGGCGAAGGGGAAUUUUUGUUAAUACUGAAUCUUUUCACAAUGUUCAUUGCUGAGACCAGCUCAGCAGGAUGGGGCUGAAGAACGGGUGCUGUGGAACUUAAGGAAAAAAAGUUAACAUAAAACAAGACACAGAGACAUUUAUCUUAAGUAAAGGUGGGAACCGGGGGACUCAAGGUCUCAGGGACCAAUAGCCCUGCCUCAAGAAACCACACUGCUUUUAUUGUGCCCUUGAGGAUUAUGUCAAGUGAAAAGGGAGUUGUAGGUGCAGGAUAUAGGUUUUUUUAUUAUUAUUAUUUUAUAAGUUCUUUUAUUAUUUUAAAAGUCACUUAGCUGGUAGAUGGUUAAACUUUUACUCUAAACUUUAGGCAUUUAAGAAUCAUUAGCAUUUGAGUUAGCUAUCUAUGCAUAGCAUUUCAGAGAAUCCUCACUGUUCUUCUGCAAAGGGCAUGCCUAUUUGUGGCAACCCUGUGUGCCUAGGUUUGCACUUUGGUUCUCUUUGCUAAUGCAUGUUCUGCUAACGACCACUCAUAAACCACUUGGCC
Molecule: long non-coding RNA, 1635 nt
Filed under: Sus scrofa (pig)
Lineage: Eukaryota; Metazoa; Chordata; Mammalia; Artiodactyla; Suidae
Description: lncRNA (ENSSSCG00030054600.1)
Source: RNAcentral